This is an RNA transcript of Suricata suricatta (meerkat), 2182 nucleotides long. It is a transcript of the gene named chromosome 16 C16orf78 homolog, with no coding region annotated. NCBI's taxonomy places the organism in Eukaryota, Metazoa, Chordata, Mammalia, Carnivora, Herpestidae. The record is from RefSeq and is a predicted model, not a curated record. The transcript has 6 exons.
CGAAGGCCAGUAUCCCAGCUGCUGGCCUACGUUCACAUCCUAAAGGCCACACCUUCCCACCCGAAGCCCUCCAGGCCAGCCACCGGAGACAAGGGGGCACCCUGCCCACCCCAGGCACAGCCAAGACCUCAGAAUGACAGAGAGCUCCGCGCUUCUAAAGGACUCAGUGCCCACAGAGAGGAAGUCCACGUGGAGGACCACGGAGGAGAGGCGGCUGUCCGACCUCACACGGGUGCUGGAGUGGCUGCAACGCAGGCAGGGGAAGAAAGUUUUCCGGAAAUCCAAGUUAGCGGUACCCCCUAAAACAACGGGGAAGGAAGAAAAGCAAGGUGAAGGCGUCCAGACACAGGAGAAAGAGACCCACCAGGUACCCUUCUCUGAGAAGAAAAUCCCUGAGCAAGGCCCCAAGAAGAACAAGGACCAAAAAAAGAUCUACGUCGUGGACCCCAAGGGAAGACGCCUCGGCCUGGUUUCUGGCAGCUUCUCCAGGGACAAGCCCCGGAAAUCCGAAAUAGACAGCGCCCUGGAGUCCACGCAGAGGUCCAUGCCACACCAUCGGCAGAGCAUGCUCGACCCCAUGCUGCAGGACCCUCUCUUUAGCUCUCGAAAGUCGACGCUCUUGAGAGACUGGGUGAUAACCAGGAUGCCCGAGAUCUUCUAUGAGCGCAAGCUGAAGAGCCUCAUGGAGAAGGGCACCGAGCCCAAGGUGGAGAUGGUGAAAAUGUUUAAGCCGGAGGAGGUGCUGAGCUGCCGGUACCUGAGGUUGUCCAAGAACAACAUUCGAACCUUGCUCAAGCUGUGCAAGGACGCGGGCAUGAACGUGGACAUCCACCCCCACAUGGUCGAAGCGGAGAUAGACACUAAAAAGCUGUUCACGCAAAUCUCCAGCGUGGCCCUCUAGGCUCCUCCCCCUCCAGGCCACCGCAGCCUCCUCUGCUGUUGGACCCCUGCCCACCGCCCCAUCAGAGUUGUCACCAGAUACAGAAACCGCACAUACUGGGAACAGAUUCACACAGGUACAGCCCCCUGUUUAUGGCAGAUGUGACCCUGAGGUGCAGUGGCGAAAAGACAAUCUUUUCAAUAAAUCAGGCUGGUCAAUUAAAUGUCCAUAUGGAAAAAAAUAUCAACCGUCUGCCUCUCACCAAAUGCAAAAAUCAGUUCCGGAUGGAUGCAGAUUGUGAAGGGUUUUAGAAGAAACAGAAGACAAUCCCCAUGACCUUGGGAUAGGCAAAAAAAAAAAUUUUAACACAAAAAGCCUCAGUAAGAAAAUAAAAUAUUAAUACGUUAGAUCAUAUUGCAAGUAAAACUUCCGCUCAUCAAAAGACAUCGGUGAGAGAGAGAGAGGCAAGUGACCCACGUAGGAGAAGGUAGAUCUGACAGAAGGCUCAUACGCAGACGAUGUUUCUUAACUCCCAUAAGUCAAUAUGGAAAAGGCGGGCAACGCGAUUAAAAAAUGGGCCAAAGUCUUGUGUGGGCACCUUACACAGGUGUUAGCUGAGUGACCUAUAAACAUAAGAAAUUUCAUUAGUUAUCAGGAAUGCAAAUAAAAAAUACAAGGCAAUACCACUAACACCCACCAGAAUGGACUAUGCCAAUAAUAGUGCACAAUGUAGAGCAAAAAACACUCAACAUGGCACUGGGAUGGUGGGUUGGCACAAUCGCUUUGGAAAACUGGCAAGACCUACAAAAAUUGCAUCUAUACCUAUGCUGUGGUCCAGUAUCCAUUCCUAGACACGCACGUCACAGGCUGGUGCAACUAUGUACAUCAGAAGACCGUCCUAGAAUGUCCACAGUGGCUUCAUUCAAUACAGCCGAAUACUGGACUGACCCAAACAUCCAUCAGCAGUAGAGAGAUUCACCAGCAGUGUGUUCCUACAGUGGAAUGCUGCAUAGAGACGAGAAUGAACAGCAUGGAUGCACGAAGCACACAAUGUCGUGCAAAAGUAGCAAGAGGCAGAAAGGACGGCUGUGUGCCACAGCCCCAGCCCAGGCAAGACGAAUCUACCGUGUUGGAAGCCAGGGUAGCGGCGGCCCCUGGAGGAGGUUGUGUCGUCGCUGGAGGGGCAUCUGAGGUGCUGGUUACACCGCUGUCACUUGUGGCAUUCAUUCGCUGUGUCCUUGGGAUUCGUGCCUUUUAGGCAGGUCUACAUACUUUAAUUAAAAGUGCAUUUUAAAAAAUAUA